This 1078-nucleotide long non-coding RNA is filed under the name Oryctolagus cuniculus (rabbit). Its description in RNAcentral is "lncRNA (ENSOCUG00000038733.1)". The record is from RNAcentral. Lineage: Eukaryota; Metazoa; Chordata; Mammalia; Lagomorpha; Leporidae.
CUUGGCCCUGCACUUGAGCUUAGACAGAAGCACAAUGAAUAACACACUCUACUAUUUUUCUCAUCCAAGUAUAGAAUCUGGCUUCUUGUGCUUUUCCCAGAGCCUCCUUAAGGUUUGGAAGGUAAGAAGGGGCAUAGCUUGUUAUAUGGCACCCAAACUGGCAGGAGUGAUUUUCACAGGCCAAGAAAGAAAUAUCCAUGUCAAACUUUGCAGCUCAGAAGCAAUUUGGAGGAAACCCCCACGGACCGUAGUGGGUCACUCCUUGAGGAAAUGUUGCAUCACCAGCCAUCUUGAUGGUGCAGAGGACAAUGCGGUGUGGGAAAAUGUGGACAAUUCCAAUUCUGAGCUGGAAAAUCAAGUUCCGUAUGUGAAGAAAUUUUAGAAAUACUUUCGGCAAUUUACAUUGCUUAUCUUUUUUAUCAGUUCAUAACAGUGGUAUAUGAAGAUAAAAUGUCUAUAUGAGGGCAAUUCAAAAAGUUUGUGAAAGAAAUCCAUGCUAUCUUUUUAAAAGUUUCAGUAAAGAUAAUAGCACAUAUUUAUGGGCUACACUGUGUCACUUCAAUACAUGUAUAAAAUGUGUACUGAUCAAAUCAGAGUAAUCAACAUUUCCCCUUCUAUUUGUUCAUAAAAUAUGCACGAGGUUAUUGUGAACUACAGUCAUUCCACUAGGCUAGUAGCACUGGAAACUUAUCCCUUCAAUUUAACUCUGAUUUGUUACCUGAUAUCCAAACUCCCUCUAUCCGCUUUCACCACUCCCAGACACUAGUAAUCACCCAUGUUCAGACUGAGAUUUUUUUCUGUUUUUUUUUUUCAACUUCCACAUAUAAAAAAAAGGAAGACCUGCAGUAUUUGUCUUUCUGUGGCUUUAUUUCGCUUAACGUAAUAUCCUCCAGUUCCCUCCAUUCUGCUGCAAAUAACACGAUUUCAUCCUUUUACAGCUAACAUUCUGCUCUGUGUAGAUAUGCCAGAUUUUCCUUUUCUAUUCAUCUGAUGAUGGACAUCUUGGUUGAUUCCAUAUCUUGGCUAUUGUGAAUAACUGCUGCAAUAAACGUGAUGGAACAGGUAUCUGUUUGAAACA